Molecule: long non-coding RNA, 800 nt
Filed under: Homo sapiens (human)
Lineage: Eukaryota; Metazoa; Chordata; Mammalia; Primates; Hominidae
Description: HSALNT0008381
Source: RNAcentral
CACAAGAAGAGACUGAAUAAAAAUGUUUGUAUUUCUAACCUAAGUAGGAAAAGUUCAGUUUAGCCUGGAUCAAAGCCUUCCUGUGGGUCACAAAUACAUACAGCACACACAGCUGAUAGCUCCAAAUCUGUGCCCUUUCCUGCACACCUGUUCAGGGUGAUAAAAAAUGACCUUCUCACAGCAAAGGCUAUGACCCUGAUGUUCCAAGUCUAUGUGUGGAGGGAAACUGGAACUGCUUGGAAAAAAGUUAGUUUGCCCUGCAUAAAUUAGAGUUUGUGUCUAGGUUAGGAUGCAUUGUCACACUCGGACACCAUGACAGACAGCUCUGCCAGUGAUGGGUACAUUCAGCCAGUGGGGAGCAAGGCCCACCUUCAUGCAUGCAGCCCUGCUGCGAAGCCUCUAUAGGUUAAACCUCAGAAGCAUUGUCACCAGAGAUGAGCUUCGUUAGAUUUUGAGAAACUGGCAUUAAAUAAACAACAGUACAUUAAAGCUUGUGUUUACCAAGUAGUUUAUAAGCAUUAGGUAGGUGCACCACCACCUGUAGUUUGUGGAACUACAUUAAUGAAACCACACAUUUCAACACUUGACAUUCAAAAGGCAAUAAUUUGAAAGCUAUAUCAGCCAAGCAAAAGUGAACUGGGUCUAUAGAAACAAGGGCUGAAGGAAAUCAGUCUGAGUUUGAAGGAAAAUCAGGUCGGUAUCUCUGAGAACUGAAUGCAGACAGAAACUCAGUUAGCACUGGUUUCCAAAAUUCAGUGACCAUAGUAAACGUGGAAAACUUGGAGAACAUUUCUAAAUGG